GUCCUCUAUACUGAACUGUAUAAUGACCUAUCAGGUCCUCUAUACUGGACUGUAUAAUGACCUAUCAGGUCCUCUAUACUGAACUGUAUAAUGACCUAUCAGGUCCUCUAUACUGAACUGUAUAAUGACCUAUCAGGUCCUCUAUACUGGACUGUAUAAUGACCUAUCAGGUCCUUUUUUUCUGCAGCGGUGGCAAAGUUAGUGUAGUGGGUGUGGCCAAUGGCACGGUCUCCAACCGAAAAUGAGCAGAGAUAUUUUGGUGUUUUAAAGCUAAAUGUCCUUCAAUUCUACACAUGUUGCUGUGGCUUAUGGCGUGUUCUUAUGCUAUCUGAAUGACUCAAACAGUAUAACUAAAUCAAUGCGGGCCCCAGGACAUGAUAUUUGGGGAAUUUUGAUUCUCCUGACUAAUUUUUAUUUUGG
Long non-coding RNA from Oncorhynchus tshawytscha (Chinook salmon), 420 nucleotides. NCBI's taxonomy places the organism in Eukaryota, Metazoa, Chordata, Actinopteri, Salmoniformes, Salmonidae. The record is from Ensembl.